RNAcentral lists this ribosomal RNA (253 nucleotides) under uncultured bacterium. RNAcentral describes it as "partial 16S ribosomal RNA". It matches the Rfam family "Bacterial small subunit ribosomal RNA", at positions 524 to 776 of the family's 1533-position model. The record is from RNAcentral.
UACGUAGGGUGCGAGCGUUGUCCGGAAUUAUUGGGCGUAAAGAGCUCGUAGGCGGCUUGUCACGUCGGUUGUGAAAGCCCGGGGCUUAACCCCGGGUCUGCAGUCGAUACGGGCAGGCUAGAAUUCGGUAGGGGAGACUGGAAUUCCUGGUGUAGCGGUGAAAUGCGCAGAUAUCAGGAGGAACACCGGUGGCGAAGGCGGGAUCCUGGGCCAGUACUGACGCUGAGGAGCGAAAGCGUGGGGAGCAAACAGG